Molecule: ribosomal RNA, 406 nt
Filed under: uncultured bacterium
Lineage: Bacteria
Description: partial 16S ribosomal RNA
Rfam family: Bacterial small subunit ribosomal RNA
Source: RNAcentral
AUUGAACGCUGGCGGCAGGCCUAACACAUGCAAGUCGAACGAGUGGCGGACGGGUGAGUAAUGUAUGGGAAACUGCCCGAUGGAGGGGGAUAACUACUGGAAACGGUAGCUAAUACCGCAUACCAUCGGAUGUGCCCCGAUGGGAUUAGCUAGUAGGUGGGGUAACGGCUCACCGAGGCGACGAUCCCUAUCUGGUCUGAGAGGAUGACCAGCCACACGGGAACUGAGACACGGUCCAGACUCCUACGGGAGGCAGCAGUGGGGAAUAUUGCACAAUGGGCGCAAGCCUGAUGCAGCCAUGCCGCGUGUAUGAAGAAGGCCUUCGGGUUGUAAAGUACUGUCAGCGGGGAGGCGUUACUCGCAGAAGAAGCACCGGCUAACUCCGUGCCAGCAGCCGCGGUAAUUC